This 369-nucleotide ribosomal RNA is filed under the name uncultured organism. RNAcentral describes it as "bacterial SSU rRNA". It matches the Rfam family "Bacterial small subunit ribosomal RNA", at positions 526 to 896 of the family's 1533-position model. The record is from RNAcentral.
CGGAGGUGGCAAGCGUUGCUCGGAUUCAUUGGGUGUAAAGGGUCGGUAGGCGGUCUUAUAAGUGCUUGGUAAAAUCCCGCAGCUUAACUGCGGAACGCCCAGGUAGACUGUAAGACUUGAGGGCUGGAGAGGCAGACGGAAUUCCCGGUGUAAGGGUGAAAUCUGUAGAUAUCGGGAGGAACACCAGAGGCGAAGGCGGUCUGCUGGACAGCAUCUGACGCUGAGCGACGAAAGCGUGGGGAGCAAACAGGAUUAGAUACCCUGGUAGUCCACGCUGUAAACGUUGAGGACUAGGUGUUGGCCCGUUUAGGGUCGGUGCCGCAGGUAACCCACUAAGUCCUCCACCUGGGGAGUACGUCCGCAAGGAUG